AUUGAACGCUGGCGGCAUGCCUUACACAUGCAAGUCGAACGGCAGCACGGGAGCAAUCCUGGUGGCGAGUGGCGAACGGGUGAGUAAUAUAUCGGAACGUGCCCAGUCGUGGGGAUAACGUAGCGAAAGCUACGCUAAUACCGCAUACGAUCUAUGGAUGAAAGCGGGGGAUCGCAAGACCUCGCGCGAUUGGAGCGGCCGAUAUCAGAUUAGGUAGUUGGUGAGGUAAAGGCGUCACCAAGCCGACGAUCUGUAGCUGGUCUGAGAGGACGACCAGCCACACUGGGACUGAGACACGGCCCAGACUCCUACGGGAGGCAGCAGUGGGGAAUUUUGGGACAAUGGGCGCGAAGCCUGAUCCAGCAAUGCCGCGUGCAGGAUGAAGGCCUUCGGUUGGUAAC
Molecule: ribosomal RNA, 401 nt
Filed under: uncultured bacterium
Lineage: Bacteria
Description: bacterial SSU rRNA
Rfam family: Bacterial small subunit ribosomal RNA
Source: RNAcentral